RNAcentral lists this ribosomal RNA (254 nucleotides) under uncultured bacterium. RNAcentral describes it as "partial 16S ribosomal RNA". It matches the Rfam family "Archaeal small subunit ribosomal RNA", at positions 474 to 727 of the family's 1478-position model. The record is from RNAcentral.
CCCAGGAGCCACCAGUGGCAACCAUUUUUAUUGGGCCUAAAGCGUCCGUAGCCUGUUUAGUGAAUUUUCUGUGAAAUCGUUAUGCUCAACGUAACGGAAUGCAGAAAAGACUACUUAACUUGGGACCGGGAGGCGUCAGAGGUAUUCCUAAGGGAGCGGUAAAAUGCUAUAAUCUUAGGAGGACCUCCAGUGGCGAAGGCGUCUGACGAGAACGGAUCCGACGGUGAGGGACGAAAGCCAGGGGAGCGAACCGG